GUUUGAUCAUGGCUCAGAUUGAACGCUGGCGGAAUGCUUUACACAUGCAAGUCGAACGGUAACAGGUCUUCGGAUGCUGACGAGUGGCGAACGGGUGAGUAAUAUAUCGGAACGUGCCCAGUCGUGGGGGAUAACGUAGCGAAAGUUACGCUAAUACCGCAUACGAUCUAAGGAUGAAAGCGGGGGAUCGCAAGACCUCGCGCGAUUGGAGCGGCCGAUAUCAGAUUAGGUAGUUGGUGGGGUAAAGGCUCACCAAGCCAACGAUCUGUAGCUGGUCUGAGAGGACGACCAGCCACACUGGAACUGAGACACGGUCCAGACUCCUACGGGAGGCAGCAGUGGGGAAUUUUGGACAAUGGACGCAAGUCUGAUCCAGCCAUUCCGCGUGCAGGGUGAAGGCCCUCGGGUUGUAAACUGCUUUUGUACAGAACGAAAAGGUCUCCAUUAAUACUGGGGGCUCAUGACGGUACUGUAAGAAUAAGCACCGGCUAACUACGUGCCAGCAGCCGCGGUAAUACGUAGGGUGCGAGCGUUAAUCGGAAUUACUGGGCGUAAAGCGUGCGCAGGCGGUUAUACAAGACAGGCGUGAAAUCCCCGGGCUUAACCUGGGAAUGGCGCCUGUGACUGUAUAGCUAGAGUGUGUCAGAGGGGGGUAGAAUUCCACGUGUAGCAGUGAAAUGCGUAGAUAUGUGGAGGAAUACCAAUGGCGAAGGCAGCCCCCUGGGAUAACACUGACGCUCAUGCACGAAAGCGUGGGGAGCAAACAGGAUUAGAUACCCUGGUAGUCCACGCCCUAAACGAUGCUGACUAGUUGUUCGGGAUUUACAUCCUGAGUAACGUAGCUAACGCGUGAAGUCAGCCGCCUGGGGAGUACGGUCGCAAGAUUAAAACUCAAAGGAAUUGACGGGGA
This 910-nucleotide ribosomal RNA is filed under the name uncultured bacterium. RNAcentral's name for it is "bacterial SSU rRNA". It matches the Rfam family "Bacterial small subunit ribosomal RNA", at positions 11 to 919 of the family's 1533-position model. The record is from RNAcentral.